This 570-nucleotide ribosomal RNA is filed under the name uncultured bacterium. RNAcentral describes it as "partial 16S ribosomal RNA". It matches the Rfam family "Bacterial small subunit ribosomal RNA", at positions 355 to 932 of the family's 1533-position model. The record is from RNAcentral.
UGGGGAAUAUUGGACAAUGGGCGGAAGCCUGAUCCAGCAACGCCGCGUGAGGGAUGACGGCCUUCGGGUUGUAAACCUCUCUCAGUACCGACGAAGCGAAAGUGACGGUAGGUACAGAAGAAGGACCGGCCAACUACGUGCCAGCAGCCGCGGUAAUACGUAGGGUCCGAGCGUUGUCCGGAAUUAUUGGGCGUAAAGGGCUCGUAGGCGGUUUGUCGCGUCGGGAGUGAAAACAGCGGGCUUAACUCGUUGCUUGCUUUCGAUACGGGCAGACUAGAGGUAUGCAGGGGAGAAUGGAAUUCCUGGUGUAGCGGUGAAAUGCGCAGAUAUCAGGAGGAACACCGGUGGCGAAGGCGGUUCUCUGGGCAUUACCUGACGCUGAGGAGCGAAAGUGUGGGGAGCGAACAGGAUUAGAUACCCUGGUAGUCCACACCGUAAACGUUGGGCGCUAGGUGUGGGGUCCUUUUCCACCGGAUUCCGUGCCGUAGCUAACGCAUUAAGCGCCCCGCCUGGGGAGUACGGCCGCAAGGCUAAAAACUCAAAGGAAUUGCGGGGUCAUAGCUNUUUCCU